UACGUAGGGUGCGAGCGUUAAUCGGAAUUACUGGGCGUAAAGCGUGCGCAGGCGGUUUUGCAAGCCGGAUGUGAAAUCCCCGGGCUUAACCUGGGAAUGGCAUUUGGGACUGCAAGGCUGGAGUGCGGCAGAGGAGACUGGAAUUCCUGGUGUAGCAGUGAAAUGCGCAGAUAUCAGGAGGAACACCGGUGGCGAAGGCGGGUCUCUGGGCCGAUACUGACGCUGAGGAGCGAAAGCGUGGGGAGCGAACAGG
This 253-nucleotide ribosomal RNA is filed under the name uncultured bacterium. RNAcentral's name for it is "partial 16S ribosomal RNA". It matches the Rfam family "Bacterial small subunit ribosomal RNA", at positions 524 to 776 of the family's 1533-position model. The record is from RNAcentral.